RNAcentral lists this long non-coding RNA (733 nucleotides) under Capsicum annuum. RNAcentral's name for it is "long non-coding RNA (CANN_LNC000702)". The record is from RNAcentral. Lineage: Eukaryota; Viridiplantae; Streptophyta; Magnoliopsida; Solanales; Solanaceae.
CCAAAUAUUAUCUUUAUAUUUUGUCACAUGUAUAACAAUAAAAUAAUACAAAAAAUGGCUACUUCAUAUUUUUCAGUGAACCAAAAUCACAUAAAACACAGAUAUAAUCAUGCUGCCGGAAAAAUAAGAAAAACGGCCAGAUCUGUCAGUUUUCAAGCAGACAGUGAUGGAAAAGAAUAAAGGAUGGUGACGCCGGCGAGGGCUCGCCAACGGCGGCUAGAUCUGAGGGGCUAAUUCCGGAGAGUUGGUUCGCCAAUGGGACGCCGAGAAAAGGGAUUUUGGAGGCUGGUUCAGCAUCAGAAAAAAGGGCGAGGGAAGACGUCGGCAGCGCGGAUGACAUUCCGGUGGCGUUGGUUGGUUCCGGCGGAUGGAAACUGCCGUUCAUGGUUGGUUGUUGUCAGAUUUGGACUUUUCUGAUGGGUUUUCCACAUUUUCUGACGAAGUUUAUCAGUUUUUGAAAAUAUUUCGGCGGCAGUGAGUGGAUUGAAGCGAUGUUGAAUUUUUUGAUGAAUUUUCGGUGAGAAACUCGCCGGAAAACUCAAAGAAAGACUAACGAUUUUCCUUCCGUUCUCAACUGUUUUCUCUCUCACUGACUUUUCUACUCGAUUCUAUCUAUAUAUAUAUUUUUUUACUGAUUUUUCUUUUUUCUUUUCUGGUUUGCACUGAUUUUUUAUGAGAUAGUAUGUGAAUAAUGAUGUCUAGAGAUGUGGGUGUGUGCAGUAUCAUGUUUUUA